Molecule: non-coding RNA, 45 nt
Organism: Schistosoma mansoni
Lineage: Eukaryota; Metazoa; Platyhelminthes; Trematoda; Strigeidida; Schistosomatidae
Source: Rfam
AUCCAGCUGACGAGUUCCAAAUAGAACGAAACACGUGUCCUGGAU